UCCUGUUGCUCAAGGCCCUGUGUAGCAAGACGGCUUCGGGGUAGGAGUGCAAUCCUACUUUCAACUCAGGCUUUCAGAUCUUACAGCACAAGCCACACUCUCUGCAGACUAGAAUUAACACUUCAAGGGCAGAGAUACUAGUUAAUUAAAGUACUUUUAAGAUUAAGUUAACCAGAAGCACAAGAGAUGCAGGGAGCAGAUGAGACCAGCUGUCAACUCAGCAAACACAGAGAGGUUUUGCUAACUUUUCAACUGAAACAGGUUUGCAUAUGACAGCGUUAUUCAGCACAACUCCCUGAAGUACAAGGAACAUAAAACAGGAGCUAGACAAAUCAUUGAGAUUAUUGUUUAUGGCAUGCUCAAAAGCAGGCUUCAGUCGUUCACAGAUAAACACUGCUCUCUGACGACAUUAGUUGCAGUGGCAACUGCUUGGCUGCCAUCCUAGUUGAACUUAAUACCUGCAACAGAGGCUGUUGACAGGAGAUGGGUCAACAACAGUUUUGGAAGACUCCAAGAAAAGGGCCAGCUUAAACGCAGACUUCAUUAGACCACAACUCUGCCAAGCUCGAUGCAGAGAGCGGCUUACGUUUAACAGAAGAGCAAAGGCUGCGGCGGGGAGGGUGGGAAACCGUCCUAAGCAGCUUGACUCCAACCCAAAGGCCGAGGGAAAAGAAAAGCUACGUCGAUUACCCGCAUCGGUUUUGGAGGAUCUGCUCCAUCACCUUCCCUUGGAUUGAGUACUCACAGACCUCCCCUGAUCGCUGUGCCCAGUCAAGGAUAAUCGUGACUGGCCUCGCAGUGACUUCGGC
This is a long non-coding RNA of Struthio camelus australis, 809 nucleotides long. RefSeq lists it as uncharacterized. NCBI's taxonomy places the organism in Eukaryota, Metazoa, Chordata, Aves, Struthioniformes, Struthionidae. The record is from RefSeq and is a predicted model, not a curated record.